RNAcentral lists this ribosomal RNA (240 nucleotides) under Staphylococcus aureus. RNAcentral's name for it is "partial 23S ribosomal RNA". It matches the Rfam family "Bacterial large subunit ribosomal RNA", at positions 65 to 304 of the family's 2925-position model. The record is from RNAcentral. Lineage: Bacteria; Bacillati; Bacillota; Bacilli; Caryophanales; Staphylococcaceae.
AAGACGAUAUGCUUUGUGUAUAUGUAAGUAAGCUUUGAUCCAGAGAUUUCAGAAUGUGGAAACCCAGCAUGAGUUAUGUCAUGUUAUCGAUAUGUGAAUACAUAGCAUAUCAGAAGGCACACACGGAGAACUGAAACAUCUUAGUACCCGGAGGAAGAGAAAGAAUAUUCGAUUCCCUUAGUAGCGGCGAGCGAAACGGGAAGAGCCCAAUCCAACAAGCUUGCUUGUUGGGGUUGUAGG